GGAGCUGUGGCUCAGUGGUAGAGCACUGGCUUUGCAAGUAUGAAGCCCUGAGUUCCAGCCCCAGUACCGCCC
Molecule: transfer RNA, 72 nt
Filed under: Dipodomys ordii (Ord's kangaroo rat)
Lineage: Eukaryota; Metazoa; Chordata; Mammalia; Rodentia; Heteromyidae
Rfam family: tRNA
About the family: Transfer RNA (tRNA) molecules are approximately 80 nucleotides in length. Their secondary structure includes four short double-helical elements and three loops (D, anti-codon, and T loops). Further hydrogen bonds mediate the characteristic L-shaped molecular structure. tRNAs have two regions of fundamental functional importance: the anti-codon, which is responsible for specific mRNA codon recognition, and the 3' end, to which the tRNAs corresponding amino acid is attached (by aminoacyl-tRNA synthetases). tRNAs cope with the degeneracy of the genetic code in two manners: having more than one tRNA (with a specific anti-codon) for a particular amino acid; and 'wobble' base-pairing, i.e. permitting non-standard base-pairing at the 3rd anti-codon position.
Source: Rfam by way of RNAcentral